UAAAGUUCUAUAAUGAACCAUUGAACAACAUUUAUAUUUUACUCUUGUGCGUCAAUUAAAAAAAAAGUUAUACAUAGGUCCAUAGAGGACAAAAUGUCCAUGCCCAAAAUCUUCAUAAAAAUAUUAUAUAUUAAUAUUUUUCCCACUUUCACUGACGUCGAUGUUUUACCAGCAUCAGUUCUAAUCAUAAUAACUAAACAUUCAUUCAUUUUCAGAAUUGUAACCCUUUAAACGCCAGUUUCUUUACAUAAUGCAAAAAUCUUAAAAGCUCAGUAAACUUCUUUGACUUAGACAUGGGGUGGGAUUUGUGAUUUCUAGUACAAUAUAAUUUCUUUCUUUCAACUGUUCACACACACACACACACAAUUUUCAGUACACACAUAAAAACCACAACUCUGAUAUCCAUACAAACACAAUCACACGUUAUAGCUGCAUCAUUUAUUUAGUUGGUCUGCAGUAUUCUAUAAUACAACAGACUCAGAAAAAAGGAAAAGCAUGUAUUUUCUCCAUAGGCAAAACCUCAGAAAAUAGUACACAUUUCAGAUUUUUUUUUAAAGUAGUGUUUUGAAACCUUGUCAACAAAAUAAAAGCCUAUUAACACAGACUCCACUAUUUUAUGCUUAAACGUCACGGGUAUUAAAUAUUACAGUUUGAAUGGGUUUUAGUUGGGAAAUUUUUGUCCUUAAGGUCCUGAGUGUACCUAUUUUGUGUACCUAAUUUAAAAUAGAUUUAUGAAAGCAAAUGAGGGUGAUGUAUUAAAGGUCCGAUAAAAAUACACACCUUUUGCAAAAUGUAUGCUGAUUUCAUUAACAUAGACAAAAUGAUAAAAUAAUAAUAAUAAUAAUCAUAAAAAAAUGAAAAAGACAAAAAUGUCCAUAAGGACGCACAAGGGUUAAGAGUGUACAAGUCUGCCUGAAGGUAUUACUUUUAUUUAUUUUAUUUUUUUUAAUUCAGUCAUGUAAAGACAAAUAAGGUGUUGUGGUGGCACCCCAGGUAUAGAGAGCAUGUUCGAUCUUGAGCUCUGGUUACUGUUGAUGUGGAGUUUCAGUGCAUGUUCUCCCUCUGUCUGUGUUGGUUUCCACUGGGCUCUCCGGUUUCGUUCCUCCUACCAAAAACAUGCCAGUCGAUGGAUUUUCUAGGCGUGAAUAAGUGUUUGCACAGUGCCCUGUGAUGAACUGGCAUCCCACUCAGUCUCUGGGUCCACUGCAGCCAUGACUAGGAUAAGUAUAUGCAUGGGUCCAAUUGUUUUUCAAUGUUCCAGGGGUCAGUGAAGCAUAGUGUUUGCUUGCUUGCUUGUUUGCUUUUUACAGUGCU
This is a long non-coding RNA of Ictalurus punctatus (channel catfish), 1314 nucleotides long. The record is from Ensembl. NCBI's taxonomy places the organism in Eukaryota, Metazoa, Chordata, Actinopteri, Siluriformes, Ictaluridae.